CCCAGCCUCAGGCAGGCUGCCCUGCCCCUUUUGCAGCAGCUGCAGGCAUGGCUGGGGGAGCCCAGGGGGCAGCGACUGGUGGUCCUGCACCUGGAGGAAGUGUCGUGGGAGCCAACACCCUUGCUGAAGUUCCAGGAGCCCCUACCUGGAGAAGCCAGCCCCCUGGAGCUGGCGCUGUUGGUGUUGUAUCCAGGGCCCGGCCCAGAGGUCACUGUCACCGGGGCUGGGCUGCCCGGCGCCCAGGUACCAGAGAGGUGAAUGAGGCUGUCCCUGGGCCACCAGGAGCCCUCAUUCAAGGCAAGGGCGGGAUUAUUGAGGGGGGGGGUUAACUGCACCUAACAGAAAGGCUGUGACUGUCCAAGUUGGAAUUUUGCAGGGAUGUUGAGGGCAGCAGGCAAGCAGGGCUGGUGUCCCAAGGCCCCAGCAAGCCUGGCUGAGUCCCCAUCUCCACAGAGCCUCUGCCCGACCAGGGACUCUGGCUUCCUGGCGUUGGCGGUCGACCACCCAGAGAGGGCCUGGCGUGGCUCUGGGCUUGCUCUGACCCUGCGACGCCGCGGAAAUGGUAGCCCCCUCCCCCAGACUGGAGCCGGGCUGGGGCGGCUGCCCUCGG
This 610-nucleotide long non-coding RNA is filed under the name Sus scrofa (pig). RNAcentral's name for it is "lncRNA (ENSSSCG00005020561.1)". The record is from RNAcentral. Lineage: Eukaryota; Metazoa; Chordata; Mammalia; Artiodactyla; Suidae.